GGGUCGCUAGCUCAACUGGCAGAGCAUUCGGCUGGCAGCGCGUCCGCCCUCCGCUGACGCGGUCAUGGAGGCGCUUCCUUCUCCUCCUUCUCAUCGAAGGGUUCGGGGUUCGAGUCCCCGGCGACCCA
This 128-nucleotide transfer RNA is filed under the name Micromonospora sp. WMMD882. Its description in RNAcentral is "tRNA-OTHER". It matches the Rfam family "tRNA". From Rfam's summary of the family: Transfer RNA (tRNA) molecules are approximately 80 nucleotides in length. Their secondary structure includes four short double-helical elements and three loops (D, anti-codon, and T loops). Lineage: Bacteria; Bacillati; Actinomycetota; Actinomycetes; Micromonosporales; Micromonosporaceae. The record is from RNAcentral.